CAAUAGCGUAUAUUAAAGUUGUUGCAGUUAAAAAGCUCGUAGUUGGAUUUCGGGUGGGACGCAGCGGUCUCGCAUUGCGUUUGUACUGCUGCAGCCCUCCUUCUUGCCGGGGGCGGCCUCUCGGACUUCACUGUCUGGGGGUCAGAAUCGGCGAUGUUACUUUGAGUAAAUUAGAGUGUUCAAAGCAAGCUUACGCUCUGAAUAUAAUAGCAUGGGAUAACACGACAGGACUCUGGCCUAUCGUGUUGGUCUAUAGGACCAGAGUAAUGAUUAAGAGGGACAGUCGGGGGCAUUCGUAUUCCGUUGUCAGAGGUGAAAUUCUUGGAUUUACGGAAGACGAACAUCUGCGAAAGCAUUUGCCAAGGAUGUUUNCAUUG
Molecule: ribosomal RNA, 377 nt
Filed under: uncultured eukaryote
Lineage: Eukaryota
Description: partial 18S ribosomal RNA
Rfam family: Eukaryotic small subunit ribosomal RNA
Source: RNAcentral